GAGUUUGACUCCUGGCUCGAGGACGACGCUGGCGGCGUGCUUAACACAUGCAAGUCGAACGGUGAAGCCCUUCGGGGUGGAUCAGUGGCGAACGGGUGAGUAACACGUGAGCAACCCGCCCCUGGCUCUGGGAUAACCAUCGGAAACGGUGGCUAAUACUGGAUACGACCCACGAUCGCAUGGUGUGUGGGUGGAAAGUUUUUCGGCUGGGGAUGGGCUCGCGGCCUAUCAGCUUGUUGGUGGGGUGAUGGCCUACCAAGGCGACGACGGGUAGCUGGCCUGAGAGGGCGACCGGCCACACUGGGACUGAGACACGGCCCAGACUCCUACGGGAGGCAGCAGUGGGGAAUAUUGCGCAAUGGGCGAAAGCCUGACGCAGCGACGCCGCGUGAGGGAUGACGGCCUUCGGGUUGUAAACCUCUUUCAGCAGGGAAGAAGCGAAAGUGACGGUACCUGCAGAAGAAGCACCGGCUAACUACGUG
RNAcentral lists this ribosomal RNA (482 nucleotides) under uncultured Kineococcus sp. RNAcentral's name for it is "bacterial SSU rRNA". It matches the Rfam family "Bacterial small subunit ribosomal RNA", at positions 9 to 507 of the family's 1533-position model. Lineage: Bacteria; Bacillati; Actinomycetota; Actinomycetes; Kineosporiales; Kineosporiaceae. The record is from RNAcentral.